UUGCACUACUAGGGGUGCCGUUUUGCGGCUGAGAGAAGGAGACCCUUCAACCCUUUGGACCUGAUCCGGGUAAUACCGGCGUAGGAAAGUAGGAAGCGUUCCUG
This 104-nucleotide non-coding RNA is filed under the name Schnuerera ultunensis. Its description in RNAcentral is "Clostridium ultunense TPP sequence". It matches the Rfam family "TPP riboswitch aptamer (THI element)". From Rfam's summary of the family: Vitamin B(1) in its active form thiamin pyrophosphate (TPP) is an essential coenzyme that is synthesised by coupling of pyrimidine and thiazole moieties in bacteria. The previously detected thiamin-regulatory element, thi box was extended, resulting in a new, highly conserved RNA secondary structure, the THI element, which is widely distributed in eubacteria and also occurs in some archaea. Analysis of operon structures identified a large number of new candidate thiamin-regulated genes, mostly transporters, in various prokaryotic organisms. Lineage: Bacteria; Bacillati; Bacillota; Tissierellia; Tissierellales; Tepidimicrobiaceae. RNAcentral also lists the same sequence under 1 other name. The record is from RNAcentral.